RNAcentral lists this ribosomal RNA (465 nucleotides) under uncultured bacterium. Its description in RNAcentral is "partial 16S ribosomal RNA". It matches the Rfam family "Bacterial small subunit ribosomal RNA", at positions 29 to 507 of the family's 1533-position model. The record is from RNAcentral.
AUGAACGCUGGCGGCGUGCUUAACACAUGCCAGUCGCACGGAAAGGCUCCUGCUUGCAGGGGUACUCGAGUGGCGAACGGGUGAGUAACACGUGGGUGAUCUGCCCUGCACUUCGGGAUAAGCCUGGGAAACUGGGUCUAAUACCGGAUAGGACGAUGGUUUGGAUGCCAUUGUGGAAAGUUUUUCGGUGUGGGAUGAGCUGGCGGCCUAUCAGCUUGUUGGUGGGGUAAUGGCCUACCAAGGCGUCGACGGGUAGCCGGCCUGGGAGGGUGUAAGGCCAAAUUGGGAAUGAGAUAAGGCACAGAAUCAUACGGGAGGCAGCAGGGGGGAAUAUUGCACAAAGGGCGCAAGGCUGAUGCAGCGAAGCCGCGGGGGGGAUGACGGCCUUCGGGUUGUAAACUCCUUUCGCUAGGGACGAAGCGUUUUGUGACGGUACCUGGAGAAGAAGCACCGGCUAACUACGUG